This 1328-nucleotide ribosomal RNA is filed under the name Janthinobacterium sp. M0-95. RNAcentral's name for it is "bacterial SSU rRNA". It matches the Rfam family "Bacterial small subunit ribosomal RNA", at positions 91 to 1421 of the family's 1533-position model. The record is from RNAcentral. Lineage: Bacteria; Pseudomonadati; Pseudomonadota; Betaproteobacteria; Burkholderiales; Oxalobacteraceae.
GCGAGUGGCGAACGGGUGAGUAAUAUAUCGGAACGUACCCUAGAGUGGGGGAUAACGUAGCGAAAGUUACGCUAAUACCGCAUACGAUCUAAGGAUGAAAGUGGGGGAUCGCAAGACCUCAUGCUCGUGGAGCGGCCGAUAUCUGAUUAGCUAGUUGGUAGGGUAAAAGCCUACCAAGGCAUCGAUCAGUAGCUGGUCUGAGAGGACGACCAGCCACACUGGAACUGAGACACGGUCCAGACUCCUACGGGAGGCAGCAGUGGGGAAUUUUGGACAAUGGGCGAAAGCCUGAUCCAGCAAUGCCGCGUGAGUGAAGAAGGCCUUCGGGUUGUAAAGCUCUUUUGUCAGGGAAGAAACGGUGAGAGCUAAUAUCUCUUGCUAAUGACGGUACCUGAAGAAUAAGCACCGGCUAACUACGUGCCAGCAGCCGCGGUAAUACGUAGGGUGCAAGCGUUAAUCGGAAUUACUGGGCGUAAAGCGUGCGCAGGCGGUUUUGUAAGUCUGAUGUGAAAUCCCCGGGCUCAACCUGGGAAUUGCAUUGGAGACUGCAAGGCUAGAAUCUGGCAGAGGGGGGUAGAAUUCCACGUGUAGCAGUGAAAUGCGUAGAUAUGUGGAGGAACACCGAUGGCGAAGGCAGCCCCCUGGGUCAAGAUUGACGCUCAUGCACGAAAGCGUGGGGAGCAAACAGGAUUAGAUACCCUGGUAGUCCACGCCCUAAACGAUGUCUACUAGUUGUCGGGUCUUAAUUGACUUGGUAACGCAGCUAACGCGUGAAGUAGACCGCCUGGGGAGUACGGUCGCAAGAUUAAAACUCAAAGGAAUUGACGGGGACCCGCACAAGCGGUGGAUGAUGUGGAUUAAUUCGAUGCAACGCGAAAAACCUUACCUACCCUUGACAUGGCUGGAAUCCUCGAGAGAUUGAGGAGUGCUCGAAAGAGAACCAGUACACAGGUGCUGCAUGGCUGUCGUCAGCUCGUGUCGUGAGAUGUUGGGUUAAGUCCCGCAACGAGCGCAACCCUUGUCAUUAGUUGCUACGAAAGGGCACUCUAAUGAGACUGCCGGUGACAAACCGGAGGAAGGUGGGGAUGACGUCAAGUCCUCAUGGCCCUUAUGGGUAGGGCUUCACACGUCAUACAAUGGUACAUACAGAGCGCCGCCAACCCGCGAGGGGGAGCUAAUCGCAGAAAGUGUAUCGUAGUCCGGAUUGUAGUCUGCAACUCGACUGCAUGAAGUUGGAAUCGCUAGUAAUCGCGGAUCAGCAUGUCGCGGUGAAUACGUUCCCGGGUCUUGUACACACCGCCCGUCACACCAUGGGAGCGGGUUUUACC